Molecule: ribosomal RNA, 167 nt
Filed under: uncultured Actinomycetes bacterium
Lineage: Bacteria; Bacillati; Actinomycetota; Actinomycetes
Description: uncultured actinobacterium partial 16S ribosomal RNA
Rfam family: Bacterial small subunit ribosomal RNA
Source: RNAcentral
GGAGGAAGGUGGGGAUGACGUCAAGUCAUCAUGCCCCUUAUGUCCAGGGCUUCACACAUGCUACAAUGGCCGGUACAAAGGGCUGCGAUGCCGUGAGGUGGAGCGAAUCCUUUCAAAGCCGGUCUCAGUUCGGAUCGGGGUCUGCAACUCGACCCCGUGAAGUCGGA